AAUUCAGAUAGACUUUAAAGAAGCUCUCCAUCCAAGUAAACCUGACGCAGAAAAUGCAGGUGCAGAUAAAUGCUUAGGAGGUGACCACACUUGGCCAUUUCCUGCAAGGGCCCUGCCCCAAGAGUGAGCGGCCAAUGGGGAGCUGGUUCUGCUGACAUCAGUCACCUGGGAGGUGCCCAGGAGAUCGCGUCUGCCCGAGUCUGCCCAGCGGAAGAUGGCUCGUGCCCACCCUGGGACAGAGCCCAGCUCCUGAGGUCCCUACCAUGGUGAUGAUCCUGAGUCAAAGCCGCGACUCCCAGGGCGCCGACUGUGUAACGUGCAGGACCUUCGCCUCUGAGCUGCACACGCCAAAGAAGAUGAGUCACGGACCGACACUUUUCUCUUGUGGAAUUAUGGAAAAUGACAGAUGGCGAGACCUGGACAGGAAGUGCCCCCUUCAGCUUGACCAGCCGAGUGCCAGCAUCUGGGAGUGCCUGCCUGAGAAGUGCCCAGACGGCGCCCUGUGGCACCAGGAGGCGGCGACCGCCUGCGCGGUGACCAACCUGAUCAAGGACCUCAGCCUCAGCGACCACAACGGGAACCCCUCCGCGCCCCCCAGCAAACGCCAGUGCCGGUCGCUGUCCUUCUCUGACGAGAUGUCCAGCUGCCGGAGCUCGUGGCGGCCGCUGGGGUCCAAGGUCUGGACUCCGGUGGAGAAGCGGCGCUGCUACAGCGGGGGCAGUGUGCCCCGCUACGCCGGCGGCCUGGGCACCAUGCAGAGGAGCUCCAGCUUCAGCCUGCCGUCCCGGGCCAGCGCGCUCUCCUCGCCCUGCGACCCCGCCGGCUUCCACCACCGCUUCGGCCAGCCCUGCCAGGGGGCACCUGGCCCGGCCGCCUGCGGACAGGCGGGCGACAUCUGGAGCCCCGACCUCCACCCCGUGGGGGGGACCCGGCUCGACAUGCAGCGGUCACUCUCCUGCUCCCACGAGCAGUUUUCCUUCGCGGAGUUCUGCGCGCCCUCCGCCAGCAGCACCCCCGCCUCCACGCCCGAGCUGGCCCGGCGCCCCAGCGGGCUGUCCCGCAGCCGCUCCCAGCCCUGUGUCCUCAACGACAAGAAGGUCGGCGUCAAACGGCGGCGCCCCGAAGAGGUGCAGGAGCCCCGGCCUUCCCUAGACCUGGCCAAGAUGGCCCAGAACUGCCAGACCUUCAGCAGCCUCAGCUGCCUGAGCUCCGGGAUGGAGGACCGCAGCCCCCGCAGCCCCUUUGCCCUCCACGUCAGCAGCACCCGGUCCUGGACCGCCUUGCUCUCCGCCUCGGCCUCCGGCCCCGGGGGCAGGACCCCCGCCGGGACCCCAGUCCCUGAGCCGCUCCCGCCCUCCUUCGACGACCACCCCGCCUGCAGGGAGGAGCUGUGCUGUGAGGAGCCCGAGGGCUGCGGCCUGGACGAGGCCUGCGGCAGGCGGGGGGAGCCGGCCCUGGCCUGGAGGGACCGUGGGGCUGCCGGGAGCAGCCCCUGCUCCCUGGACGGCGAGCUGGAUAUCGAACAAAUAGAGAAUAACUGAGGGGCCGUGGGGCCCUGGUCAGGGGUGGGGUGCACUAGGUCCACGGCCCCCCUCUGGGCACGAGAUGGGCACUUGAAUGGGGAGCCCCACUCCUGGGCCUGACGAAAGCUUCCUGGAGGCUUCGGGUCCAGAGAGUGAGCCCACUGCCCUCCCGCAGAGGCCGUCCAGCCUGCAGGCGCCCUGGCCCAGGGCGGGACCCGGCCCCGCCACGCCACAUGGUGGAAUGGAGCGCCCGGCCCACAGAACUGCUGUAGCCGCCAGCACAGCUCCUGGGCUUGGGUCUCUCCCCCUUUUCCUCGUGGGACAUUGUCCGCGAGCAUCCCAGGCACCCCCGCUGGGCCCCGCUCUGCAUGCUGGCCCUGGCUGGAGUUCCCACCCCUCGGGGCUUAUCGGGGGCUCAGGCCCGUCCGGUGGUGUCAGGCCCUUCUUGGCCUCCUGCUCAGGUUCCGUCUGGGGGAGUCGGCCCCACAGUUUCUUUCACUCAGUUUUAUUCUGUGCCUUUCCUCCCGGGUCUCCCGCUUCAGGCUUGGGAAGGUCCAGGAGACGCCUCCUUCUGUAGCAACACCAGAACCAUGUGGCCUUAAUUCCAAGUGUGGGCAGAGGCCUGGGUGCCGGGGGGCCCUCUGCGGCUGAACUCUUGGGCCCAGGGAACGUGGGUGCUUGUUAGAGGCCGUCUGUGUUGGGUAGACAUUAGGAGGCUCUCUGCCGCUCCAGGGGCCGCUUCGGCAGGGCUGGCAGGUGGGAGCAUUCCCCGUGCCAACCUGUCACUGAGGGAUAAGCUUAGUGAUUCAGGUGAGUGGAGAGAUGUCACCAUAAUAGGGCAACAUCUUGAAAAUGUCCUCAGGAGGCAGGAGCUGUGAGCAGGGGCACAAACCUGGCCCUGUGCCCACUUCAGGGGUGUAGGUAUCUGCUGGCUGCUCUGGGGGGCUGGGUCCAGGGCCUGCACAGCCCCCUGCUGGAUUCCAGGAGUAUUCUCAUUGGUGGUGGGGACUGUUGGCUUUAAUCAGGGUGCCCCAUCCACCUUGAGACAGGCCCCCUGCGGCUCAGCUAGGGGAGCAGAGUGUAUUCACGGCCGCCUCCUUGCCGCAGCCCCGCCCCAGGCACAGAGCUUGAGGAACACUCCCACCCUCCCCGGCUCCUCGCACCCGGCUCCUCACAUCCUGGCAGACUCCCUGGUGGCGGCGGCAAGGAGCCCUGCCCCUGAGGUUUCACUCCGGCAGCUCCCGUCCUGCCCAGCUGUAGACGCACCGUGUGGCUGCUGCUCUCUUGAAAUCAGGCUUUUAGCAAACCCGGCAUCUUCCGCAGACAGCAGCAACUGGGUCGGCUUAUGAGCAAGUGGCUCUUUUUCUCAAAAGCCUAGAAAUAACCGGCGCGCCCUGGAGUUCGCCGGUGCGUGAUGAAGGCGCUUCUGCAGUCGUUCUGCCUCGUUUCUGCAGGGGAAUAGAGCUCUCACCUUUUCCCUAAAGAGAGAGUCUAUUGGGAAGCUUUACUUAAACCUUCACUUUUUUAUAUCAAAAGGGGUGGCUCAGGUUCUGAUUCACAGGUGGCUUUUUCCGCAAAUCAGCCAUAAGAUGCUUGCAGAAAAUCCAGCCAGUGGCCUCGGGGGGGGGUGUGAAAUCUCCGGUUGGAGAGCAUAGUGGGGGUGUGGGCCCUGGGGAGGGCCUGGGACGCAACCAGCUUCGCCCGAGCGGCUCCCGCCGACGGCACGUCCCCUCAGGGCUGUGGAGAGCCCAGCCAGGGUACACAGGAUGUCUCGCCCGGUCUCCAUCUGGCAGGUUGUGGAGGUCACGUCUUCUUAGAGGUAACCCAGAUGACGCUGGGGCAGUUGUCAGGUGACAUCGGGCAGCAUAUGAAUUUGGAGAGCACGUGCUGGGUCUUCGUGUCCUCAGAGAGCCUGGGAGGGAGGGACUAGCAUUUGGCCCACGCUAAGGAGAGUGGCCACAGAGGGACCAUGACCUCUAAAGCGGUCCUUCUUGAGGAAGGAGAGGCAGGGCCUCAUCUCCUGGUCCACACUGCAGGUGACCACAGUGAGGGAAGGAAGCUGAGCCAGGACAGGCCUGGGCGGCAGCACCCAGGUGCCUUUCCUUGGGCGUCGGAGGGAAGGCCUGUGGUGGUGGGUGUCACAGGGCUGGGGUGCAGGUAGCCUCUCAGACCCCCCUCCAUCGCCCAAACUGGUCUCACUGACUGGCAACCCCAGCCCCAGGGCACUCAGGCAGAAGGGACCCCAGCCCAUGGCAGGGUGUGGCCCUUUCCAGUCUCUCAGGCCCCUCUUGGCUAGGCCUGACCCCACAGAAACUCCUGACCCAAGCCCACGGCGGCCGCAGUGAGAGGAGAGACAGCCUGUGUCCCUUCUGCUCCGAGGGGAGAUGGCCUUCAGUUGGUUUCAUGUUUGUCUUUUGGUUGGAGAGAGCAGACUUCAUCUAGAAGUUUCUGCCACUCUGCCCGGCGAGGGCCGUUCUGGUCCACCCCACUGGCCCCUUCUGGUCUUGUAGCUCUUGGAGGGAGGCUCACCCAGGAGGCUCUGUCUGACCCCAUGGGACUGUCCCCAAGGGCAGUGGGCGGGCUGGUGGCUCACCCUGCAGGAGCCUCACUUUAGUUGGAGUCCUGCCUCUCGCUGCCGAUGCCCAUGAACUCUUGCCUCUGAGGGGACACUGAGGAAGUCAGAGCCAGGAGGGAGGGCUGUGCCCGACCGCCCACCUGCACAGAGGUCCCUGCAGGACGAGAGCAGGGUCAUGGCUUCGGGGCAGCAGGGUGGGGCGGAGUCACUUGCUGUCACAGCCCCACUGGUCCCACAGGAGCAUCCUCUCGCAGGGCCUCGAGAUGGUGUUGAAACCUGUCUGCCGUGGGUGCUGGGCGGGCUCAGUGGCAGCCUCUCGUUUACAUUGCCACAAAUCCUCUUGCCUUAUUCGAGGUGGCCAGGCUGGCCCAGGGCCCACAGGCACACACGACACCCAGGCCACAGGGGACCUUGUUCUGACCAUACAUACGGAUUUUCAUUCUCGGAAAGCCUUACUUUUCAACAGAAUUUUUGUAGCAGGAAAGUUUUGUGAAUUUGUAUGCUGAAAGAAAACUUCAAUAAAGGAGAAGGCCACGUGAUAAAGAAAACCAAAA
Non-coding RNA from Miniopterus natalensis, 4652 nucleotides. NCBI's taxonomy places the organism in Eukaryota, Metazoa, Chordata, Mammalia, Chiroptera, Miniopteridae. The record is from RefSeq and is a predicted model, not a curated record.